UGGCGGCUGCUUGUGCGCCGGAUCCUGGAAAGGGCCGGGCGCCAUUGUGCUUCGCUGCGGACUGCUCUCCGCCCCCACCCCCCUCGCCACCCCCAGUCAGAGAGGCCUCCGACGGCGAGGCGGGACGCGGCGGCGGGAUCGCUGUGAGCGCGACGCGCCCUGGUCAGCGCCGGCUCCGGAGCUGAGGGAAUCUUAAGAAUGGAGUCUAAACCUUCAAGGAUUCCAAGAAGAAUUUCUGUUCAGCCCUCCAGCUCUUUAAGUACUAGGAUGAUGUCUGGAAGCAGAGGAAAUAGUUUUAAUGAAACCUAUCACUCAAGAGACUCUUCAUUUAGACUGGAUUCUGAUUAUCAGUCUGCUUCAGCAUCUGCAUCACCGUUUCAGUCCACAUGGUACAGUGAGUCUGAGAUAACUCAGGGAGCACACUCCAGGUCGCAGAAUCAACAACGCGAUCAUGAUUCAAAAAGACCUAAACUUUCCUGUGCAAACUGUACAUCUACCUCAGCUUCAAGAAAUGUUGGAAGUGGCUUAAAUGCAGUAUCAGAUUCUUCUUGGAGGCAUAGUCAAGUUCCCAGAUCUUCAUCAAUGGUACUUGGAUCAUUUGGAACAGAUUUAAUGAGAGAGAGGAGAGAUUUGGAGAGAAGAACAGAUUCCUCUCUUAGUAAUCUUAUAGAUUAUAGUCAUCGAAGUAGUGAUUUCACAACUUCAUCAUAUGCUCAAGACAGAGUUCCUUCUUCAUAUUCACAGGGAGCAAGACCAAAAGAAAACUCAUUGAGCACUUUACAGUUGAAUACAUCAUCCACCAACCACCAAUUGCCUUCUGAACAUCAAAGCAUGCCAAGUUCUAGGGACUCCAGCAGAAAUUCCUUAAGGGCACAUUUUUCUUCAAGAGAAUCAGGAUCUCCCCGAAGCAGUACACUAUCUGGAUUUUCUUUUAUUCCAAGUCGAGAUGAAGCUCCAACUAUAAGCAAUUCAGAAAGGGUUGGUUCAUCUCAAAGAUCAUUUCAAGAGUCUUCGGACAAUGAAGGUAGGCGGACAACCAGGAGGUUGUUAUCACGUAUAGCAUCUAGCAUGUCAUCUACAUUUUUUUCACGAAGAUCUAGUCAGGAUUCCUUGAAUACAAGGUCAUUGAGUUCUGAAAAUUCUUACAUUUCUCCAAGAAUUUUGACAGCUUCACAGUCUCGUAGUACUGCAACAUCUACAUCUGAAGUUCCCGAUAAUAGGGCAUCUGAAGGUCCUCAGGGAUUUCGAUUUCUUAGGCGAAGAUGGGGUUUGUCAUCUCUUAGCCAGAAUCAUAGCUCUGAGCCAGAUUCAGAGAAUUUUCACCAAGAGUCUGAAGGUAGAAGUACAGGACCAUGGUUAUCUUCCUCAUUUAGAAAUAGGUGCACUCCUUUGUUCUCCAGAAGGAGACGAGAAGGAAGAGAUGAAUCCUCAAGGCUAUCUACCUCUGAGAUGCCAUCUAGAUCUCAUAUUUUUAGAAGAGACUCAAAUGAAGUAGUUCACCUUGAAGCACAGAAUGAUCCUGUUGGGGCUGCUGCCAGCCGACCACAAGCAACUGCAGCAUCAAGUAGUGCCGCCGCAGGAGGCUCCACGUCAGAGUCGGCUCAAGGUGGAAGAAACACAGGAAUAACAGGGAUUCUUCCUGGUUCUUUAUUCCGAUUUGCAGUGCCCCCAGCACUCGGAAGUAAUUUGACUGACAAUGUCAUGAUUACUGUAGAUAUUAUUCCUUCAGGUUGGAAUUCAACUGAUGGGAAAAGUGAUAAAAGUAAAAGUGCAUCUUCCAGAGAUCCAGAAAGACUGCAGAAAAUAAAAGAGAGCCUCCUACUAGAGGACUCUGAGGAAGAAGAAGGCGACUUGUGUAGAAUUUGUCAGAUGGCAGCUGCCUCAUCAUCUAAUUUGCUGAUAGAGCCCUGCAAGUGCACGGGAAGUCUACAGUAUGUCCACCAAGAGUGUAUGAAAAAGUGGUUGCAGGCAAAAAUUAACUCUGGUUCUUCCUUGGAGGCCGUAACUACCUGUGAACUCUGUAAAGAGAAGUUGCAGCUUAACCUGGAGGAUUUUGAUAUUCAUGAACUACAUAGAGCUCAUGCAAAUGAACAAGUUAGUAUAUUUUGCCUAAUUUGGCUGAGUAUGAGUUUAUCAGCUCCGGUCUCUACCUAGUUGUAUUGUUGCACCUGUGUGAACAAAGCUUCUCUGACAUGAUGGGAAAUACAAAUGAACCAAGCACACGUGUCCGAUUUAUUAACCUUGCAAGAACGCUUCAGGCACAUAUGGAAGAUCUCGAAACUUCAGAGGAUGAGUCUGAAGAAGAUGGAGACCAUAACAGAACCUUUGAUAUUGCCUAACUUCAUAUAAGACAAAUGGAUGGUCUGUGAACAAGUGUUUUAUUAAAACUGGCAAUUAAGUAAGAAUUCAUUUUGUGCGGGAAUGCCUAUUAGAUAUGUUGACUAUAUAGAACAAAUAUUUAUAUACAUAUGCAUGUGUGUAUAUAUGCAUAUGUGUAUAGAUAUUCUCCAGUGUUGCUUAAUUGAAACUGCUGGACCUUUUAACAUGACCAGUUAAUCUAAUGUUUAUAAACUGGUCAUCAGAAGUAUUUUUGGCAAGUGGGAAAGUAUUAACCUUGUUUUAAAUCUAAACAGUGCACAUCAGCUCUUUUUUGUGUUUUGAUUACUGUAGUCAUAUUUAUGAAAAAUGGUUCGUGUUAGUCUCUUCCUAGUGAGAAAAGUGGAAAUUUUGCUUUGGAAAUUAAAUGCCAAAUAGUACCUGAUUAGUUUUCCUUUUGAAAUGCCUUAAGUUGCAGUCACAUUUUGAUAAUCAUUUGCUUCCAGUGUUUUAAAAAAAAAUUGUUUUUUUAAGAAUGGGGAGAAGGUCAUAAAGAACAUAUUAGGUUUCAAAUUUAAUUUGAAUUCUAAAUUUAGCAGAACCUAAUUUUUAGAAAUAUAAAAUGUAUAAAUGAUGGUUAAACUUUUGUAUUAAUUUGCAAAAUGGAGAUUAUAUUUGAUAGGCCAUAGAAUGUAGAUAUUCUUUUUGGGAAUAUUACAGCUAUAAUUAGACAUGAAUUGCCAGUCAAAUGCUGUUUGGUUUUAAAAAAAAAAAAAUUAUUGCAAUUUCAAGUUAUUGGAAUGUUUUUAAAUCCCACAUUCAAAGUUUAAAACACUGGUUUUCAAUGUGUUUUUUAGUGUUGUCACUUUAUAGAUAAAUAUGAUAUAAAUAACCUGUUUGGAUUCUGGUCGUUUUUAACUGUUCCUUGGUAAUUCUGAGGAUUUAUUUGGUGAUUAUUAAUAUUUUUCACUAUCUCUUCAGAGAACAGAUGAAUAUUACCUGUUCACUAUCAGUAGGCCUACACUGUCAUGAGUUGUGUGUAUUUUCAUAACACUGUAUUUCUCCUCUGUCAACACCAUUAAGAAAUGCUUAAAACAUCUUCAGGUGGUAUUAGGAUAAAGUCUGAUGUUAUGUCAGCAAAUUUCCUUUUCAGAACCCGAAUACAAACUAUGUAAUUUCUCCAAUGUGAACAGUUUGCCCUCACUUAGUUUGUUGGUCUUAUGUAAAAUUUUGGCUUGAAAUAAAGUAUGUACGGAUCAAUUAA
Molecule: RNA transcript, 3580 nt
Organism: Ochotona princeps (American pika)
Lineage: Eukaryota; Metazoa; Chordata; Mammalia; Lagomorpha; Ochotonidae
Gene: MARCHF7
Gene name: membrane associated ring-CH-type finger 7
Exons: 10
Source: RefSeq, a predicted model, not a curated record